GGGUUGUGAGGUUAAGCGACUAAGCGUACACGGUGGAUGCCCUGGCAGUCAGAGGCGAUGAAGGACGUGCUAAUCUGCGAUAAGCGUCGGUAAGGUGAUAUGAACCGUUAUAACCGGCGAUUUCCGAAUGGGGAAACCCAGUGUGUUUCGACACACUAUCAUUAACUGAAUCCAUAGGUUAAUGAGGCGAACCGGGGGAACUGAAACAUCUAAGUACCCCGAGGAAAAGAAAUCAACCGAGAUUCCCCCAGUAGCGGCGAGCGAACGGGGAGCAGCCCAGAGCCUGAAUCAGUGUGUGUGUUAGUGGAAGCGUCUGGAAAGGCGCGCGAUACAGGGUGACAGCCCCGUACACAAAAAUGCACAUACUGUGAGCUCGAUGAGUAGGGCGGGACACGUGGUAUCCUGUCUGAAUAUGGGGGGACCAUCCUCCAAGGCUAAAUACUCCUGACUGACCGAUAGUGAACCAGUACCGUGAGGGAAAGGCGAAAAGAACCCCGGCGAGGGGAGUGAAAAAGAACCUGAAACCGUGUACGUACAAGCAGUGGGAGCACGCUUCGGCGUGUGACUGCGUACCUUUUGUAUAAUGGGUCAGCGACUUAUAUUCUGUAGCAAGGUUAACCGAAUAGGGGAGCCGAAGGGAAACCGAGUCUUAACUGGGCGUUAAGUUGCAGGGUAUAGACCCGAAACCCGGUGAUCUAGCCAUGGGCAGGUUGAAGGUUGGGUAACACUAACUGGAGGACCGAACCGACUAAUGUUGAAAAAUUAGCGGAUGACUUGUGGCUGGGGGUGAAAGGCCAAUCAAACCGGGAGAUAGCUGGUUCUCCCCGAAAGCUAUUUAGGUAGCGCCUCGUGAACUCAUCUUCGGGGGUAGAGCACUGUUUCGGCAAGGGGGUCAUCCCGACUUACCAACCCGAUGCAAACUGCGAAUACCGGAGAAUGUUAUCACGGGAGACACACGGCGGGUGCUAACGUCCGUCGUGAAGAGGGAAACAACCCAGACCGCCAGCUAAGGUCCCAAAGUCAUGGUUAAGUGGGAAACGAUGUGGGAAGGCCCAGACAGCCAGGAUGUUGGCUUAGAAGCAGCCAUCAUUUAAAGAAAGCGUAAUAGCUCACUGGUCGAGUCGGCCUGCGCGGAAGAUGUAACGGGGCUAAACCAUGCACCGAAGCUGCGGCAGCGACACUAUGUGUUGUUGGGUAGGGGAGCGUUCUGUAAGCCUGUGAAGGUGUGCUGUGAGG
This 1236-nucleotide ribosomal RNA is filed under the name Escherichia coli. RNAcentral's name for it is "bacterial LSU rRNA". It matches the Rfam family "Bacterial large subunit ribosomal RNA", at positions 1 to 1268 of the family's 2925-position model. Lineage: Bacteria; Pseudomonadati; Pseudomonadota; Gammaproteobacteria; Enterobacterales; Enterobacteriaceae. The record is from RNAcentral.